Long non-coding RNA from Gymnodraco acuticeps, 348 nucleotides. RefSeq lists it as uncharacterized. Lineage: Eukaryota; Metazoa; Chordata; Actinopteri; Perciformes; Bathydraconidae. The transcript has 3 exons. The record is from RefSeq and is a predicted model, not a curated record.
GUGCUAGGACGCCAUGCUACCAUACCUCAGAAUGUUUGUGUGUUAUUGGUGCUUAUGUGUGUGUCCUUACGAUAUUGUUAACAGAGGUUAACUCGGGUGCUUAUGAUGUGUGUUUCCUUACGAUAUUGUUAACAGAGGUUAACUCGGGUGCUUAUGGUCAACCAUUCCCAGAGGUCUGGAGAAACACCAUUUAAAAACGUGGAUUGUAGCUAAAGAAGAUGGAGAGGUUGUUACAGCACACUGUAACUGUAUGGCUGGUUUGUCAGAAUCCUGCUCACAUGUUGGAGCAGUUCUGUUUGCAAUCGAAGCAGGUGUGAAGAUGAGAGAGACUGCAUCCUGCACCACUGA